AUGGAUUUAGCUACAGCCCGCAGAGGUCAGCAGCAGUGGGCUGGCCAUCGGGAUGGCUUGAACGGGGCAGGAGCAGUAGGAUCGAGCGGGGAGGCCAGCAGCGACAAUUGGAGGAGUCAGCGUCUGGGCGCAGCGCAGCGCCGCCGCCGCCGCCGCCUCCGCGAACACAGGAGGAGCGGGGAUCGUGAUUUGUCUAGGAUAUUUACCGGGCCCAGGCAAGAUGGACGAAAUUCAGCCGAAAAUCAAAACACAGGUCCGUUCUUGCGCGGAGAUUCGCGCUGGUCUUGUUGUCGGGUCCGUGUGCCUUUCCUCCCUUUUCAUUUCGUCCUCUCUGUUUGGAUAAGGUUGAGGGGGAGCUCGAGCGGCGGAGCAGGAGGCGAUUCUCACUGUCCAUGGCGAUUUCGAGACCUUCCCCCACUCGAGCUUGAUUUCUCUCCACUUCCUCUUCGCUCCCCGGUGUCGCGGUUGGUUGUUCCUCUCUCUCUCUCCCCGUCGCGCGCUUGUGUUGUUCUGCUCUUGUUCGUCCCAGAUCUAGGUGCUCGUGUUCCUGUAGGCGCGAGGGAUUCUGUAGAUUUGUCUGUAGAUGUUCCUGUAGGUGCUCAUGUUCCUAUGUACUGGGAGAUGCCUAGCUCGUUCCUGCUCAUGUCGGGAUGCUCCCUGAUGCUUCUGCGUGUUUUCCUGCUCUUGCCCCUGCUCAUGUACUGGCUACGGAAAGUGUCUCAUCAGGAUGUUCCAUUAGUAUCAUCUUUAGAGAGUGCAGAUUCAGUGGAUGAAGCUUUCGUGCCUAAUGAUUUUGCAGAAGAUGGUUCUCAUCCCGUGUCUCCGGAUCUAUCUCGAGAUGAAGGAGAGUUCGACAAGGCUCUUUUGAAGUUCUAUCUCAAUCAGAAAAGGCAGAAACGAUCUACUGAUUUCCCCACUUGUGCCACUUUCACUAGAUAUUCUGGGAAGUUCUUCUCUGGUGUUGUUGCUGGAAUGUGUCCUAGGUAUCAGAAUGUCAUCCAGACAUACGGCAUGGGUUGUCUCUUAAACUUUGUUAGGACCGAGGUUCCCCUUAGGCUAGUGAAGUGGCUUGCUAGUAGGUUUGAUGUCCCUUCAUCUGAAUUCCAGUUCGAAAGGAAAUUUAUCCCAAUGGCCAAGUAUGACAUCCACGAUAUCCUUGACCUCCUAGUAGAUGGCGAACCACUUGUGUCUGAUCCUGAGUCUGGCCGUGAUUUUAUCCUGUCUCACUUCAAUGUUUCUAGUAUUCCUCCUGUCUCUUUCUUUGCCAACAAGCUUAAAUCCACCGAAGUCGAGUUGUCUGAUGAAGACAUUUUCAUUUGCUUCAUGAUUGUUGCGUUGUCCUCAUUCCUUUGUCCCAACUCUAGCCUCAGUCCUAUCCCGAAGUACCUGCAUAUUUUUAGGGAUUGUUCUUCUAUGUGCAACUAUGAUCUGUCCGGAUAUGUUUAUGAGUGGUUGUUGAGCAGCAUCAAAAAGUUCAAGAAUUCCACUAAAGUUGCUUCUAAAAGAUCAGUGACGUUUGGUGGUUGUCACUACGCUUUUGCUGUUUGUUACCUUGACCAACUUAAUUUCGGUCUCCAUUCUGUCCAUGAUGUCAAGCCCCGGAUUCUAGCAUGGAGAGGUAACAAAGUUAAGCAAUUUUCAGAGCUUGACAGAAACAAUAGCCGCUCUUAUGGCAAGAGGUCUCUAAAGCGGUUGUGUGCUCCAGUUAAUCCACAGUCUAUCGAGAAAUCUUCAGCAAGCAAAGAUGGUGAUGUUCCCCUUUGCAGUGACAUGCUUUUUGAAAUGAAUGUGCAGAAAUCCUUCGGUGCUCGUUUUGGGUUUGAGGCUGCUCAAGUAGUCAUAGACCUUGUUCAAUCUAGGAACAAAGACAAGCCCAAGCUAUUUGUAGAAUGGUCACAGUCCCUUGCGCCAAGUCUGUCUCUAUUCAAUCUUUCAUUGCUGAGAGGAAGUGGCUUGGUAAAUGAGGCAAAUGUUGAAGUUGCAAUUCCAGUGGCGGAUUUAUCUUCUAUAAAAAGUCCUUCUCAUUCUAUAGGUAUAUCCCCUUCAACGACGUGGUGUGCAAUUCCUGUUGUUGGUUCUACUUUGAAGCCCUCAGGUCCUUUGUGUGUUUAUUUAUUUUUCUUGCUGGUCUUAUUAAGAAAUAGCGAACCCAAGGCCGAUGAUAAUGGUUUUCAAAGACCCACUUUUGCUCAGUUAAAUCGCACUCUUGGUGUUCAAUCUAAUGGCGAUGUUACCAAUGGUGAGCCCAAUGAUAAAGAGGUCGACAAUUCUUUUGGAGAACUGUCCCCUCUGCUAGGUGAUGUUGAGUGCUCUCAGUAUGUUGUUGAAAGAUUUAUGAAUUCACUGGAUCCCCGAAAUGAUGAGGAUUGCAUUGAAAUGGCCGGUUUGCCUAAUUCUGAAGUUUCCAAGUCAACUCACUGCUCAAGCCACCCUACUAAUGAAGUUAAAGAGCUACAAGACAACAUUCAAAUUGUAGGCACUUCUAGUUUUGCUGCUAGGUGUCAACAGCUUUCAAGAUCUAAUGAUGUUGCUUACAACAAGCUCAAGAACUUUACAGCACCUCAAUCAACUAGUUGUAAUCCUAGGAAGCAACAAGCUACUUCUAGCCCAGAAGUAGAGAUCUUGUCAUCCAGGAGUGCCCCUAGACCUCCUUCAGCUGCUCCUGUUCCUAAAGCUCAUGCACAAUCUUCCAUUGUUCCUAGUGGUUCAUCUCACGGUCAUGUACCUCGGAGGAUGGUUGUUCCUGGCAAAUAUACCUCAGAUCCAUAUGUUGCUCAGGGUAAUAAGUUUCCUGUUACUAAUCAAGAAAGGCGUCACCACCUUGCAAUGGUGGAAAUAGGAACGCAUGAAACUUGGUGCAAGUAUGAAGCAAUUCGAUAUGACCGAGCUUACUGUAGCUACCGAAAUCUUGCAACCUUGAAGUCCAAAGAAGAUGUGAAUAAUUUCUUGCUUCUGUGUGUCUAUCGUUAUCUUUUCAAACAAUCUCAUCCAUCAGCUUCAAAGAAGUACUUCUUUUUCUCUUACAUUGGGGAAACCAUUUUGAGUGGUGUUAAUGUUGAGAUUGUAGCUAAUGCAUUUCAUGGUGCAAAUAGUGCUUUUGCAAUGUGGAGAACUUUUUUUCCUAUUGCCCGGGAUCAGCACUGGUUUACUUUCCUUGUUUGCUUGAAGGAGAGGGCAUUCGCAUUUCUUGAUUCUGCUUAUGGGCCAAAGUCUCAUUUUCACAAGGAAGUUCGUGAUGCAAUGAUUGAAAAUUUCAUAAGCAUCUGGGAUCAGGUUGUGACUCCUGUCAUGCGCACUCGUAUCGACUUUGAAAAUUUUGAUAUUGUGUACCCUAGUGUACCUCAGCAAGAUAAUCGCCAUGAUUGUGGUGUUUUCUCUAUCAUGUAUCUGAAGUAUUGGACUCCCAGGACCCCAAUUGGAAAUAUGUUUGGUCCUGCUGAUAUCGACAACAUAAGAAUCAGAUUGGCUAAGGAGUUGUAUUUCAGUACAUUCAACAGCAUUGACAAGACUUUUGUUACAGACUUCUUUGGUGAUAUUGUAAUACUACUUUUGCGACCAUCUUUGUUGUUGAUGGUUUGGUGUUUUCCGUUGGUUUUUGAAUGUUCUCUGAAGUCAAGUGAAGGUGCAAUAUUUGUUUCCUGGCAGGUUUCAAUAUCUGCAACUACAAUCAUCUCUUCGUCCUGUAAUGUAAAAUAA
This 3696-nucleotide ribosomal RNA is filed under the name Triticum aestivum (bread wheat). Its description in RNAcentral is "partial small subunit ribosomal RNA". The record is from RNAcentral. Lineage: Eukaryota; Viridiplantae; Streptophyta; Magnoliopsida; Poales; Poaceae.